RNAcentral lists this transfer RNA (73 nucleotides) under Ailuropoda melanoleuca (giant panda). It matches the Rfam family "tRNA". Rfam says of the family: Transfer RNA (tRNA) molecules are approximately 80 nucleotides in length. Their secondary structure includes four short double-helical elements and three loops (D, anti-codon, and T loops). Further hydrogen bonds mediate the characteristic L-shaped molecular structure. tRNAs have two regions of fundamental functional importance: the anti-codon, which is responsible for specific mRNA codon recognition, and the 3' end, to which the tRNAs corresponding amino acid is attached (by aminoacyl-tRNA synthetases). tRNAs cope with the degeneracy of the genetic code in two manners: having more than one tRNA (with a specific anti-codon) for a particular amino acid; and 'wobble' base-pairing, i.e. permitting non-standard base-pairing at the 3rd anti-codon position. The record is from Rfam by way of RNAcentral. Lineage: Eukaryota; Metazoa; Chordata; Mammalia; Carnivora; Ursidae.
GCCUGGCUGGCUCAGUCGGCAGAGCGUGCUACUCCUGAUCUUGAGGUCGUGAGUUCAAGCCCCAUGUUGGGCA